RNAcentral lists this transfer RNA (64 nucleotides) under Pheletes quercus. RNAcentral describes it as "tRNA-Leu". It matches the Rfam family "tRNA". From Rfam's summary of the family: Transfer RNA (tRNA) molecules are approximately 80 nucleotides in length. Their secondary structure includes four short double-helical elements and three loops (D, anti-codon, and T loops). The record is from RNAcentral. Lineage: Eukaryota; Metazoa; Arthropoda; Insecta; Coleoptera; Elateridae.
UCUAAUAUGGCAGAAUAGUGCGAUGGAUUUAAGUUCCAUAUAUAAAGUCCAGCUUUUUUUAGAA